GUGUCAGCCGCCGCGGUAAUACGUAGGGUCCAAGCGUUAAUCGGAAUUACUGGGCGUAAAGCGUGCGCAGGCGGUUUUAUAAGCCAGAUGUGAAAUCCCCGGGCUUAACCUGGGAAUGGCAUUUGGGACUGUAAGGCUAGAGUACGGCAGAGGGGACUAGAAUUCCUGGUGUAGCAGUGAAAUGCGUAGAUAUCAGGAGGAAUACCGAUGGCGAAGGCAGGUCCCUGGGUCGAUACUGACGCUCAUGCACGAAAGCGUGGGGAGCAAACAGGAUUAGAUACCCUGGUAGUCCACGCCCUAAACGAUGUCAACUGGUUGUUGGGGAAUUGAUUUCCUUAGUAACGAAGCUAACGCGUGAAGUUGACCGCCUGGGGAGUACGGUCGCAAGAUUAAA
RNAcentral lists this ribosomal RNA (394 nucleotides) under uncultured bacterium. Its description in RNAcentral is "bacterial SSU rRNA". It matches the Rfam family "Bacterial small subunit ribosomal RNA", at positions 505 to 898 of the family's 1533-position model. The record is from RNAcentral.